CCUACGGGAGGCAGCAGUGGGGAAUAUUGCACAAUGGGCGAAAGCCUGAUGCAGCAACGCCGCGUGAGCGAUGAAGGCCUUCGGGUCGUAAAGCUCUGUCCUCAAGGAAGAUAAUGACGGUACUUGAGGAGGAAGCCCCGGCUAACUACGUGCCAGCAGCCGCGGUAAUACGUAGGGGGCUAGCGUUAUCCGGAAUUACUGGGCGUAAAGGGUGCGUAGGUGGUUUCUUAAGUCAGAGGUGAAAGGCUACGGCUCAACCGUAGUAAGCCUUUGAAACUGAGAAACUUGAGUGCAGGAGAGGAGAGUAGAAUUCCUAGUGUAGCGGUGAAAUGCGUAGAUAUUAGGAGGAAUACCAGUUGCGAAGGCGGCUCUCUGGACUGUAACUGACACUGAGGCACGAAAGCGUGGGGAGCAAACAGGAUUAGAUACCCUUGUAGUC
Molecule: ribosomal RNA, 439 nt
Filed under: uncultured Romboutsia sp.
Lineage: Bacteria; Bacillati; Bacillota; Clostridia; Peptostreptococcales; Peptostreptococcaceae
Description: bacterial SSU rRNA
Rfam family: Bacterial small subunit ribosomal RNA
Source: RNAcentral